GCUAUUUUGGCAGAUUAGUGCAUUAAAUUUAGAAUUUAUUUAUGUAAUUUAGGUUACAAAUAGUA
This 65-nucleotide transfer RNA is filed under the name Adrisa magna. RNAcentral describes it as "tRNA-Leu". The record is from RNAcentral. Lineage: Eukaryota; Metazoa; Arthropoda; Insecta; Hemiptera; Cydnidae.